UAUGAUGAAGUAGACCAAACUGGAUAUUCCCCUACCACUUCUAAGUCCUCUCCUGAGGACACAUCAUCAGAUCUAGUUCAAGAAACAACAUCAUCUGCCACGCAAGCAGGAAAACAAUAUGAAGGUAUAGCAAGGUGGCUGAUAGAUGAGUCAGUUAACAUGACCUCUAGUGCUGUGCUACCUGUUGAUAGCUGCUGCAAUAGUCAUUCAGAUGUUGAAGAUCAUGCGGGAGAAAUGACUGCUAUGAUGGUGCAUCAACCUCAGGAAGAAAAUUCUCAUCUAUUUGAGUCCACAUCUGGUGGAAUUGAUUGCAAAGUGUUCUCCCCAAUGCAAUCGCAUAUUCUUGCAGACCUAGCACCCUACAUGGAUUCUCCUUAUGCCGACUUUGGCAAUGAUCAUAAUGGUUUUCAUUUUCAGGAUGGCACUAGUGAACCUGA
This 437-nucleotide unclassified non-coding RNA is filed under the name Hevea brasiliensis (rubber tree). The record is from RNAcentral. Lineage: Eukaryota; Viridiplantae; Streptophyta; Magnoliopsida; Malpighiales; Euphorbiaceae.